RNAcentral lists this long non-coding RNA (281 nucleotides) under Manihot esculenta (cassava). RNAcentral's name for it is "long non-coding RNA (MESC_LNC003685)". Lineage: Eukaryota; Viridiplantae; Streptophyta; Magnoliopsida; Malpighiales; Euphorbiaceae. The record is from RNAcentral.
GGCUCUUGCAAUUUCUUCCUCAUUUGUAAACAAGAAUCGAUUUCAAUCAAUUAUAAGUAGGUACAUAAACUCUUUUAUUGUUCACGAUAAUAAAAAAAUUCGACUUUUCCUCUCUACUUCAACUCCAAAUUUGUUAAACUUUUAAAACUCUAUGAAUCUGAAAUUUUUGAUUCAUUUACAAUUUCUUCUGCCAAAAAAUUUCCUUUAAAUAUACAUAAAUAGUUAUCUGCACUUCCUUUUAGUAUCUCUUGCUUUAUUAUUUCCCUUUUCUGCGUACUNNN